This 238-nucleotide unclassified non-coding RNA is filed under the name soil metagenome. RNAcentral describes it as "partial internal transcribed spacer 1". The record is from RNAcentral.
CACAAAUAUGAAAGCAGACCCUCAUUGGGGCGUAACGUCACGCCGUGUCCGCAAUAGCGUCAUUGCUGUUGUGCUGACGCGGCGGGGGGGGUAACGCCCUUUUGGGCCAGCCUGACUCCAUAUUCACCCAUGUCUUUUGCGUACUACUUGUUUCCUUGGCGGGUUCGCCCGCCAAUUGGACCCAAUUAAACCUUUUUUGUAAUUGCAAUCAGCGUCAGCAAAACAAUGUAAUAAAUUA